RNA transcript from Cryptomeria japonica (Japanese cedar), 993 nucleotides. It is a transcript of the gene named D-3-phosphoglycerate dehydrogenase 3, chloroplastic-like, with no coding region annotated. The record is from RefSeq and is a predicted model, not a curated record. NCBI's taxonomy places the organism in Eukaryota, Viridiplantae, Streptophyta, Pinopsida, Cupressales, Cupressaceae. The transcript is spliced from 4 exons.
AUUCGCGCUUCCAAAUGGAAGAAUGAGCAGUUGACGUUUAUUUUUUUCCUAAAAUUAUGACUUUAGUCAUAAUAAUGCUAUUAAUUUUUUCUUCCGUAAUAAUUUUUUAAUGGUUUGGGGAUGGAUGGAUGGACAAUUCCAGAAGGUUGCAGGUGGGUAGAUGAUUCGAGAAGGUUGCGGAUGGAUGAAUCUUUGCAGGGACGCCUCAAGGUCGUUGGAAGAGCCGGCGUGGGAAUUGAUAAUGUGGAUCUCCAUGCCGCAACAGAGUACGGGUGUUUGGUGGUAAAUGCUCCCACUGCAAACACUGUAGCGGCUACAGAGCACGGCAUAGCACUUCUUGUCGCCAUGGCAAGGAACGUGCCGCAGGCCAGCGCUUCCAUGAAAGAGGGAGAUAGCAAAGAAUUGUGGUUGCAUAUGGGUACUUUCUGGGACGCAGGCCCUGCUGUAAAAGUCGCUUACAAGCGUAAUGAUACAUGGAAUCCUUUCAGUAUGGUGCUCAAAAUGGGAAUCGGUGAUUGGGGUUCUCCUUCAGGGCCUGCCUUGGCUCACUCCCUUAGUAAUUAUGCGACCCAGUAACCAACACAGGCAAAAAAAUAAAGCCAGACUGAAUGCAAUUCCAGGGCCCUAUCAAAUUCAGAGUAAAAACUCUUGAUAAACAAGCAAUGUGUUGUUCCUUAUACGUUACUGGGGGUUGUAGUCCGACAUUUGUGUGAAGGCCGAUCUACAACAGUGAAGCUUGGACCUGUGAAGGGCUUGUGGCUCAGAAGCAAAGUACCCUAUAGCGGUUACAGAAGGAAAAUGAAGGAUGUGCGUUCACUCAGAUGCAGAUGUACUCAAAUACAUUACUCAAACACAAUGCAAAGCACAGAUCGAGAAUGUACUGGAGAAUGCUCAUGACUACUCCAGAUUGUUCGAAAGUUAAAAAUUAAAUGAACUCUGCCAAAUUCCUUCAAUGGCAUUUAAUGCACAAAGAUUUUUUACAGAUUUGAAUUA